Molecule: ribosomal RNA, 448 nt
Filed under: uncultured bacterium
Lineage: Bacteria
Description: partial 16S ribosomal RNA
Rfam family: Bacterial small subunit ribosomal RNA
Source: RNAcentral
CCAGACUCCUACGGGAGGCAGCAGUGGGGAAUAUUGCACAGUGGGGGGAACCCUGAUGCAGCGACGCCGCGUGGGCGAGGAAGUAUUUCGGUAUGUAAAGCCCUAUCGGCAGGGAAGAAGAAAUGACGGUACCUGAAUAAGAAGCACCGGCUAAAUACGUGCCAGCAGCCGCGGUAAUACGUAUGGUGCAAGCGUUAUCCGGAUUUACUGGGUGUAAAGGGAGCGUAGGCGGCCUGCCAAGUCUGAUGUGAAAUACCGGGGCUCAACCCCGGGGCUGCAUUGGAAACUGACAGGCUGGAGUGUCGGAGAGGCAGGCGGAAUUCCUAGUGUAGCGGUGAAAUGCGUAGAUAUUAGGAGGAACACCAGUGGCGAAGGCGGCCUGCUGGACGACAACUGACGGUGAGGCGCGAAAGCGUGGGGAGCAAACAGGAUUAGAUACCCGAGUACA